CCCCCCGCAGCCACCCCCUGUCGCAGGCCGUUUCCUUCAGCAUCCCCUUCGGGCUGGACAGCGAUGUGGACAUCGUGAUGGGGAACCCUUUGGGGGGGGGGGGCGGCCCUUUGGCCCGCUCAGCCAGCAGCGACAGCCUGGCUCUGCCCCCCCACCCCCCCCACAGCGCCCCCACCGCCGCAGCGCCCCCCCCCAAGUCGUGGUUCCGCCCCCCCCCCUCCCCACGUCGCCGUCCCCUCCCCCCCCCACCAUCGAGGAAGCGCUGCAGAUCAUUCAGGGGGGGCAGCGGUUGGUACCCGAAGGAGCCCCCGCCGCCUUCUAUCUGCAUUCCCCGGGGGGGGACGGACCCCCUCCCCCAAUCAGAGACUCCCCCCAUAUAAAAGGAGACCCCCCCGCCGAGCUGGGGGGGGCCCGAAAGGAUGGGCCGAAAGAGGACGACGGUGGGAAAAGGGAUGGGGUGAAAGGUAAGCCCCCCAAGCCUCCCCCCGCCCCCCCCGUCCGCAUGACCAGCUUCGCCGAGCGCAAGAAACACCUGGAAGAAGCAGCAGUGAGCGGCAGCCCCCCCUCCCACCCCCAGCCUUCAACCCCCCCGCGACCACCUCCGGACCCCCGGCCCCAACCCACGACCCCCCCGGGGGGGACGGCAGAGUUCUGAGCACCGAACUGAACCAACUGGGAGCCCGGCUGGAGGAGAAGCGCCGCGCCAUCGAGGCUCAGAAGCAGCGCAUCGAAGCCAUCUUCGCCAAGCACCGGCAGCGCCUCGGCCGCAGCGCCUUCCUGCAGCUGCAGAGGGGGGGGACAGCGGCCCCGGGGACGACGCGGCCCCCGAAGCCCCCCCCCGGCCCAGCAGCCCCCCCCCGCGUGGCGAGCCCCGCAAGCAGGUGACGUUCGCCGAGGACGGCUAUGGGGCGGCGGUGGCGCAGCUGAGCACUGCGCUCAGCUCCCUGCAGCAGGACAUGCAGCGCCUCCACCUGCAGCAGCAGAAGCUCCUCCGGGAGCCGCGGCCCCCCCGGGGGGGCACGCCUGGGUUAUCCCCCCCCCGCCCAAAGCCCACGCCAGAAACGCCCCCUCUGCCCCGUCCGCCCCCCCGCUGAGCAGCGCCCCCCCCGGCCCUCGGCCCUCCCCCCCCGGCCCACGGCGGCGCGUCGACGACCCCCCCCCCCGCCCCUCCUCCCCCCCCCCCAGCCAAAAAAGCCCCCGCCGCCCCCGCCCCGCCGAACUGCGCCUCCCCCCCCUGCAGCGCGUGCUCAGCCCCCCCGCGACGUGGACAGCCUCCCCCACCUGCGGCAGUUCUCCCCCAGCCAGGUCCCCGUGCAGACGCGCUCCUCCAUCCACUUCUCUGAGGACGAGGAAGACGAGGACGAAGGCCCCCCCCGCCCCACAAGGAGACCCGGGGACCCCCCCGGCUGGAUGAGGAGCCCCCCCCUUCUGUUGCCCCCCCCGGGGAUUUGGGGUCUCCCCGCGCCCGCCCUGCCGGGGAUGGGACCAGCGAUGCUUCGUCACCCGGGGAGAGGAGGGGGAGUUUGGUGGAGGUGCCCCUCGGGGGGGGGCGCGGGGGGGGGCGACGGGGAACCCGAAGGGGAUUCGCUGGAGGGGUCACCCACCGAGGAGGGGGGGGCCGGGGGGCAGCAGCACAGAGCGGGAGUCGGCUUCUUCUUUAAGGACGAGGACAAGGAGGAGGCGCUGAUGGCGCAGCGCAGAGCGGCGCUGUUGGAGCGGCAGCAGCGGCGCAGUGCGGAGGUCCGACAGCGGCGCCAAUGGGAGAGCGAACGGCGCGGGAGGGACGGCAGUGAGCACAGGGCGGUCCCAUCCGACCCCCCCGCCCCGAGGAGGACCCCCCCCGGAGGGGCGACUUCACCCGCCAGGAAUACGAACGGCGGCAGCAGCUGAAACUGAUGGCAGAUUUGGACAAAGUGCUGCGCCCCCCCCGCCGCCCCCGACCCAAAAGCGUCUUCUGUGAUGAUUCGGCGCUGGCACGGAGCCCCGCCAAGGGGGCGUUGGG
Molecule: long non-coding RNA, 2002 nt
Filed under: Gallus gallus (chicken)
Lineage: Eukaryota; Metazoa; Chordata; Aves; Galliformes; Phasianidae
Source: RNAcentral